UGACUGGUGUUUGGAUGUAUUGGUUACACGACAUGGGAAGUACUGCUCUGGUCUGAGAGGAUUAUUUACUUCCACAAUGACAAGAUUUUCAGCGCCAAAGGGUCGCAGUCCGUCAGGCGAUGACCUGUCUGCCCUUCCAUACCUUGAUGAGCGAGUCAUAAUUGAUCACCUGAAAGCAAGACAUGCAAAGGGAGACUACCACACGUACAUUGGUGACAUCCUUGUGUUCCUCAACCCAUUCAAGCCCGUUGACAUCUACACACACGCG
This is a long non-coding RNA of Haliotis rufescens (red abalone), 268 nucleotides long. RefSeq lists it as uncharacterized. The record is from RefSeq and is a predicted model, not a curated record. NCBI's taxonomy places the organism in Eukaryota, Metazoa, Mollusca, Gastropoda, Lepetellida, Haliotidae. The transcript is spliced from 3 exons.